GCACAAUGGGCGAAAGCCUGAUGCAGCGACGCCGCGUGAGGGAUGACGGCCUUCGGGUUGUAAACCUCUUUCAGCAGGGACGAAGCGCAAGUGACGGUACCUGCAGAAGAAGCACCGGCUAACUACGUGCCAGCAGCCGCGGUAAUACGUAGGGUGCAAGCGUUGUCCGGAAUUACUGGGCGUAAAGAGUUCGUAGGCGGUUUGUCGCGUCGUUUGUGAAAACCAGCAGCUCAACUGCUGGCUUGCAGGCGAUACGGGCAGACUUGAGU
RNAcentral lists this ribosomal RNA (269 nucleotides) under Klebsiella pneumoniae. Its description in RNAcentral is "partial 16S ribosomal RNA". It matches the Rfam family "Bacterial small subunit ribosomal RNA", at positions 366 to 647 of the family's 1533-position model. Lineage: Bacteria; Pseudomonadati; Pseudomonadota; Gammaproteobacteria; Enterobacterales; Enterobacteriaceae. The record is from RNAcentral.